This 776-nucleotide ribosomal RNA is filed under the name Psora decipiens. Its description in RNAcentral is "SSU rRNA". It matches the Rfam family "Bacterial small subunit ribosomal RNA", at positions 353 to 1214 of the family's 1533-position model. The record is from RNAcentral. Lineage: Eukaryota; Fungi; Ascomycota; Lecanoromycetes; Lecanorales; Psoraceae.
UGUGAGGAAUGUAUAGCGAUAGCUAAUUGCAUCGAAAAUAUGAUGCAAGAUCGAUUUAUUGAAUAAAAUUCUGGGUAGAAUUAUGAUUAUGACAUUGUCUACCCAUGUGUCUUGACCAAAUUACGUGCCAGCAGUCGCGGUAAUACGUAGAAGACUAGUGUUAUUCAUCUUUAAUAGGUUUAAAGGGUACCUAGACGGUAAAUCAAGCCCUAGACGGGACUAAUUUGCUAGAGUUACUUGUGAGGGGGUUUUAAAGUACUAAUGGUGUAGAGAUGAAAUUUUGUAAUACCAUUUUUCGAAAGGAAAGUAAUGGCACAGGUAUAGGCGAAAGCAUCCCCUUAUGUGAUAACUGACGUUGAAGGACGAAGGCUUUGAGUCGCGAACAGGAUUAGAUACCCUGGUAGUCAAAGCAGAAAAUAAUGAGUGUCAUAGAUUAGAUAUUAAAGUUUAUUCUAUAAAUGAAAGUGUAAGCACUCCACCUCAAGAGUAAUUUGGCAACAUUGGAACUGAAAUCAUUAGACCGUUUCUGAAACCAGUAGUGAAGUAUGUUGUUUAAUUUGAUAAUCCGCAAAAAACCUUACCACAAUUUGAAUAUUUAUAUCGUUGAUAUAAUUACAAGCGUUGCACGGCUGUCUUCAGUUAAUGUCGUGAGAUUUUGGUUAGAUCCAUUAAAUUAACGCAAGCCCUUACUUUAUUUUAAAAUAAAGUCGUUCCCCACUAGAUUGGAUAAGAUAACAGGGAUUAAGACAAGUCAUCAUGGCCUGAAUAUUGUGGGC